CUUUUAGUGAAAAGGAGAGAUGGUUGGCAUCUCCCCUGGCAAGGAUGAGAACAGCUUUCAGGCUUUUCUAUUACACACAUCGGUUAAGGUUGUCCACCUUUUUAGGGUUGGAUCUAUAACCGAAUCAUCUGA
RNAcentral lists this non-coding RNA (132 nucleotides) under Trifolium pratense (red clover). The record is from RNAcentral. Lineage: Eukaryota; Viridiplantae; Streptophyta; Magnoliopsida; Fabales; Fabaceae.